This is a long non-coding RNA of Magnolia sinica, 2267 nucleotides long. RefSeq lists it as uncharacterized. NCBI's taxonomy places the organism in Eukaryota, Viridiplantae, Streptophyta, Magnoliopsida, Magnoliales, Magnoliaceae. The record is from RefSeq and is a predicted model, not a curated record. The transcript has 2 exons.
GUUUUUGUUUUUUGGACGAUUGAAACCGAAUUUGACAUGAACGUGUCCUGUCCCAUUUUUUUGAUGUUUGUCGUUUUGCUAACCAUGAUCACGGCUGAGGAAAGAACAGGUCCCAAGCCAUGAAGUUUCAUAAGAAAGGGGCCUGUCCAAUGCUAUGCGCCUGUUCAGAUUUGGGCAAAGUCGUGUCAUGACAGGCAUUCAUGUCGCAAGGCUAGCUGGUCAUGGACAUGCUGUUGCUGACUAGUUGUUUUGCCCUUUGUUUGUUAAACACCCUAGAUUAUGGACUGGACAGAUUGUGGCAUUUGUGGGGAAAUUAAAAUUUGGUUGGUACAAAUGUGCUGUGCACAUUGGGCACAUGUACACAUCGACACGUGCUACAUUUUUCAGUGCUUGAAAAUUGACGGUGGCAUGUAUGCUCACAUGGGAUGCUUAAACUUGGAUGGUCGCACUCAUGGCACAUUGAGGCAUAUCAUGUAUGUGCAUGGAUAAAUGUGAUCCUCAUGCACACCAAAACUAUAAUGUGUCAUUGAGAGGUUGUCCCACCUCCCCACCACAGAUGCCCAAUUCAUGGUCAAAUGGUCAUUAUCCAUGACUACUAGACUAGUUCAAACGUGCAUUGGUUCUCAUUCACAAGGGGCUUGAUGCACCAUGGACAUGUAUGGUUGUUAAUGACUAGUGGGGACACAACUUUGCCGAAUCCAAACAGCCCUCAUUGGGAAAAUGGUAAAGCAGGAAAGAGAAACCCUCAUUGAUAUAGUUUCUGUCUUCCAGACUGCCCCAAACGCCAUGGAAGCUCCACUAACCAUGAUUUGGUAGUACACCCAAAUGCACCAAGCGGAGGGAGGGAGCUUGAAAGUAAGUGAGACGUGCAUGUUGUAGCCUAAGAAUCUGUGUGGAUAGUCUCUCUUGGAACACUUGUCUUCAUUUUUCAAUGGCUUGUUGCUUCCAAAUUUUCUAGGUGGAGUUACCUUUCAAUUAGAAGAUACAAAAGUAAUUUAUGGUUCAUAAGCCCUUGUAUUCAAAGUUGGAUAUAUCAAUGGUUCCUUUUUAUAUUGUUUAUUGUGCUCCCAUCUGAUCCAUUUUGCUGCAACAUCUGCUAUCUCAUUCCCCUACACUUUCAGGUGUAGCUUUAAAACAUGGGAUUGGGAAGCCUGAUGCAUAUAGUCGAGAAGGUUUGUGAUGGUACUGUUGAAGGCCCAUCUUUUAGCGGGCAUGCAUCUCUCUUUUCUUCCCCAUGAUUCCAUCAUACAAUGCCGCUCUAUGCUUUCACUUGUUGUGUUUUGUAUGUUCAAGACUCAGAACAGUAUUGUAGACCAUUUGGACUACUUUGAUGUUCAGCUCCUGUGCGGAGAUGUGGGGCUCAUGCUGAGUUGUAAUGGACGAAGUACUGUAAUGGAUUGCAUAGAUCUCAACGGCAGCUUUGUCUUAUUGAUGGAUCCUUCUCUUCCGUCCUAAAACUAAAUACACAAACUGAAACCAGUCACAUCUCUGUUAAGAUUUAUUCAGGGGUCAACAGCUAUAUUGUCUUACAGUUGGUGUUUCAAGCAUAUCUAGUUCUUCAUUUAAAUGCAUGUGGAAGAGAACCUAUGGAAAAUUCCUUGAAUGGGUUUUAGGAAGAAAUCUUAGUCGAAGUUGGGCAUUAUCACCCUUCAUGUGAAUAUGAAUCCAGAUUGGGAUGAACACUGUUAAUUUCACCUGAAUUUUCAAGUUUGUCGUUGAUUAAACUAUUUUAACUGUAUGUACAGGUUUUGGAAAUUCAUAUUCUAGGUAUCCAUCAAACAGGAGUCGAACAGAAUCAGCCUUCUCCCAUCUUCGGCAUUGUCAAGUAAUUUUGGUUCCUCUUGUUUUUCAACAUGCUUCAUGUGCACCAAGAACACAAAAUGCUAAUUCAAUUGAGUUGACUCAGGGGUACAAUGAAUCCAUGGUUGUUUGGCUCUCUGGAAUCUUGAAAACAGAUUCAUAGUGAAAGAGAUUGCAUCUUUGGUGGUUGGGCACUGGGAAAGCUAUUCUUAUAAAUCCAGCUCGUGUUUGAUGCUAGGAAAACUAUUCUUAUAAAUCCAAUUUGUGCUUGUACUCUGAGAAACAGUUGUCAGGUGAAGACGACUUUUCCAUCGUAUUUCCCAAAAUUUUGGACCCAUCUUAAAGAAUAAAGGUUCAAAUUUUGGGAAGUAAAUUUCUGAUUCAAACCUAAAUUUAGCCUCUCACUAAUGGAAUCCAUUUCCAUGGUGCUGGAUUCACACCUGGGAAGUGGAUGGUGCUUUACACAA